CCUACGGGUGGCAGCAGUGAGGAAUAUUGGUCAAUGGACGAGAGUCUGAACCAGCCAAGUAGCGUGAAGGAUGACUGCCCUAUGGGUUGUAAACUUCUUUUAUAUGGGAAUAAAACGUUCCACGUGUGGGAUUUUGUAUGUACCAUAUGAAUAAGGAUCGGCUAACUCCGUGCCAGCAGCCGCGGUAAUACGGAGGAUCCGAGCGUUAUCCGGAUUUAUUGGGUUUAAAGGGAGCGUAGGUGGAUUGUUAAGUCAGUUGUGAAAGUUUGCGGCUCAACCGUAAAAUUGCAGUUGAAACUGGCAGUCUUGAGUACAGUAGAGGUGGGCGGAAUUCGUGGUGUAGCGGUGAAAUGCUUAGAUAUCACGAAGAACUCCGAUUGCGAAGGCAGUUCACUGGACUGCAACUGACACUGAGGCUCGAAAGUGUGGGUAUCAAACAGGAUUAGACACCCCAGUAGUC
RNAcentral lists this ribosomal RNA (460 nucleotides) under uncultured bacterium. RNAcentral's name for it is "partial 16S ribosomal RNA". It matches the Rfam family "Bacterial small subunit ribosomal RNA", at positions 338 to 795 of the family's 1533-position model. The record is from RNAcentral.